RNAcentral lists this ribosomal RNA (495 nucleotides) under uncultured bacterium. RNAcentral describes it as "partial 16S ribosomal RNA". It matches the Rfam family "Bacterial small subunit ribosomal RNA", at positions 28 to 507 of the family's 1533-position model. The record is from RNAcentral.
GACGAACGCUGGCGGCGUGCCUAAUACAUGCAAGUAGAACGCUGAAGGAGGAGCUUGCUCUUCUGGAUGAGUUGCGAACGGGUGAGUAACGCGUAGGUAACCUGCCUGGUAGCGGGGGAUAACUAUUGGAAACGAUAGCUAAUACCGCAUAACAGUAGAUGUUGCAUGACAUUUGCUUAAAAGGUGCAAUUGCAUCACUACCAGAUGGACCUGCGUUGUAUUAGCUAGUUGGUGGGGUAACGGCUCACCAAGGCGACGAUACAUAGCCGACCUGAGAGGGUGAUCGGCCACACUGGGACUGAGACACGGCGCAGACUCCUACGGGAGGCAGCAGUAGGGAAUCUUCGGCAAUGGACGGAAGUCUGACCGAGCAACGCCGCGUGAGUGAAGAAGGUUUUCGGAUCGUAAAGCUCUGUUGUAAGAGAAGAACGAGUGUGAGAGUGGAAAGUUCACACUGUGACGGUAUCUUACCAGAAAGGGACGGCUAACUACGUG